GACGAACGCUGGCGGCGUGCUUAAUACAUGCAAGUCGAACGAUGAAGAAAAGAAUCGAAGCUUCGGCAGAAAUUCAUGUCGGAUUAGUGGCAGACGGGUUAGUAACGCUUGAGCAACCUACCUCUUACAAAGGGAUAGCCUCGGUAAACCGGGAUUAAUACCAUAUAACAUUUUGACGAAGCAUGUCGAUGCAAUCAAAGCUACGGCGGUAAGCGAUGCGCCCGCGUCCCAUUAACCGGAUGGUGAGGUAACGGCUCACCAUAGUGACGAUGGGUAACCGGGCAGAGAGGGUGGACGGUCACACUGGAGCUGAGACACGGUCCAGAAUCCUACGGGAGGGAGCAGUGGGGGAUAGUGCACAAUGGAGGGAACGAUGAUGGAGCGCGGACGGGUGAAUGAUGAAAGAAUUGAUUACGUAAAGCGCAGUUCUAUGGGAAGAAAAGGACGGUACCAUAGGAGAAAGCCCCGGCUAAAUACGUG
Molecule: ribosomal RNA, 480 nt
Filed under: uncultured bacterium
Lineage: Bacteria
Description: partial 16S ribosomal RNA
Rfam family: Bacterial small subunit ribosomal RNA
Source: RNAcentral